RNAcentral lists this unclassified non-coding RNA (369 nucleotides) under uncultured bacterium. Its description in RNAcentral is "contains 16S-23S intergenic spacer region". The record is from RNAcentral.
UCCCCAUCGCUGAGGCAGUCUUGUAAGAAAAAUACAACUUACAAUAAGGGUUGCGCUCGUUAAGGGACUUAACCCAACAUCUCACGACACGAGCUGACGACGGCCAUGCAUCACCUGUCACUGCGCUCCUCUUGCGAGGCACUCCUGACUUUCGUCGAGAUUCGCAGGAUGUCAAAUCUUGGUAAGGUUCUUCGCGUAGCGUCGAAUUAAACCACACGCUCCACCGCUUGUGCGGGUCCCCGUCAAUUCCUUUGAGUUUUAGCCUUGCGGCCGUACUCCCCAGGCGGGAUGCUUAACGCGUUAGCUUCGCUACUCAAGAGGGUCGAUACUCUCAAGCAGCUAGCAUCCAUCGUUUACGGCGUGGACUAC